This 497-nucleotide ribosomal RNA is filed under the name uncultured bacterium. RNAcentral describes it as "partial 16S ribosomal RNA". It matches the Rfam family "Bacterial small subunit ribosomal RNA", at positions 28 to 507 of the family's 1533-position model. The record is from RNAcentral.
GAUGAACGCUGGCGGCGUGCCUAAUACAUGCAAGUCGAGCGAACGGACGAGAAGCUUGCUUCUUUGUUGUUAGCGGCGGACGGGUGAGUAACACGUGUAUAACCUACCUAUAAGACUGGUAUAACUUCGGGAAACCGGAGCUAAUACCGGAUAAGAUUUUGAACCGCAUGGUUCAAAAGUGAAAGACGGUCUUGCUGUCACGUAUAGAUGGAUCCGGGCUGCAUUAGCUAGUUGGUAAGUUAACGGCUUACCAAGGCAACGAUGCAUAGCCGACCUGAGAGGGUGAUAGGCCACACGGGAACGGGAACGCGGUCAAGACGCCUGCGGGAGGCAGCAGUAGGGAAUCUUCCGCAAUGGGCGAGAGCCUGACGGAGCAACGCCGCGUGUGUGGUGAAGGUGUUCGGAUCGUAAAACUCUGUUAUUAGGGAAGAACAGAUGUGUAAGGAACUGUGCACAUAUUGACGGUAACUAGUCAGAAAGCCACGGCUAACUACGUG